UAGUAAAAUUUUAAAAGUAUAUUCUGCCCUAUGAUUAAUUAAAUGGCUGCAGUAUUCUGACUGUGCAAAGGUAGCAUAAUAAUUAGUCUUUUAAUUGAGGACUUGUAUGAAUGAUUGUAUGAGAUAUUUAUUUUAUUAAUUAAAUUAUUAGAAUUUAAUUUUUAUGUAAAAAAGCUUAAUUUAUUUUUCGGGACGAAAAGACCCUAUAGAACUUUAUAUUUUUAUUUAUUAUUUUAUAUCAGUUUAAAUUUUAAAAUUUUAAUAUUAAAUAUUUUAUUGGGGUGAUAAAUAAAUUUGACUUUAUUAUUUUAAAUCAUUUAUUUAUGUAAAUUUGAUCCAUUUUUAUGAUUAUUAGAUUAAGUUACCUUAGGGAUAACAGCGUAAUUUUAAUGAGGAGUUCAUAUCUAUAUUAAAGUUUGCGACCUCGAUGUUGAAUUAAGAAAAAAAUUUGGGGUAG
RNAcentral lists this ribosomal RNA (457 nucleotides) under Helochara communis. RNAcentral's name for it is "partial 16S ribosomal RNA". The record is from RNAcentral. Lineage: Eukaryota; Metazoa; Arthropoda; Insecta; Hemiptera; Cicadellidae.